Long non-coding RNA from Lactuca sativa (garden lettuce), 334 nucleotides. RefSeq lists it as uncharacterized. The record is from RefSeq and is a predicted model, not a curated record. Lineage: Eukaryota; Viridiplantae; Streptophyta; Magnoliopsida; Asterales; Asteraceae.
AUAAUCUCUCAAUAUUCUAUUAGUUUAAGUCAUGUUUUAGUCAUAAUUAGCUGGAAGCUAAUUACCGAGAAGCCAGUAGAUGAUUUUACCCGAGAAGUUAUUUUCAAUAGUUCAUGUUACUAUUCUACAAAACAAUGUAGGGGUUGCUAAUGGAACGACAAUAGGUUUGGGAGCCUAUAGACCCGAGUGUUAACGACGAAAUGACAAGUAGACCUUAAUAUUAAAUACACUUAUUAAUGGCCGAAUAAUAAAUGUACGGGAGCCAUUUGUUUGUAUGCAUGUAUAUGUAUUGUGAUAUAUAAUAUAUUGGGGAACUCACUAAACUUUAUUCUUA